CUACGGGCGGCAGCAGUGAGGAAUAUUGCACAAUGGGGGGAACCCUGAUGCAGCAACGCCGCGUGGAGGAUGACGCAUUUCGGUGUGUAAACUCCUUUUAUAUGUCAAGAAAAUGACGGUAGCAUAUGAAUAAGCACCGGCUAACUCCGUGCCAGCAGCCGCGGUAAUACGGAGGGUGCAAGCGUUACUCGGAAUCACCGGGCGUAAAGGACGCGUAGGCGGGUUGGAAAGUCAGGUGUGAAAUCCUACAGCUUAACUGUAGAACUGCACUUGAAACUUCUAAUCUAGAGUAUGGGAGGGGGAGAUGGAAUUAGUGGUGUAGGGGUAAAAUCCGUAGAUAUCACUAGGAAUACCUAAAGCGAAGGCGAUCUCCUGGAACAUUACUGACACUAAGGCGUGAAAGCGUGGGGAGCAAACAGGAUUAGAUACCCUCGUAGUC
Molecule: ribosomal RNA, 439 nt
Filed under: uncultured bacterium
Lineage: Bacteria
Description: partial 16S ribosomal RNA
Rfam family: Bacterial small subunit ribosomal RNA
Source: RNAcentral